This 75-nucleotide transfer RNA is filed under the name Chloroflexota bacterium. RNAcentral's name for it is "Chloroflexi bacterium tRNA-Thr". It matches the Rfam family "tRNA". From Rfam's summary of the family: Transfer RNA (tRNA) molecules are approximately 80 nucleotides in length. Their secondary structure includes four short double-helical elements and three loops (D, anti-codon, and T loops). RNAcentral also lists the same sequence under 2 other names. The record is from RNAcentral. Lineage: Bacteria; Bacillati; Chloroflexota.
GCCGAGGUAGCUCAAUGGCAGAGCAGCUGUUUCGUAAAUAGCAGGUUGUGGGUUCGAGCCCCAUCCUCGGCUCCA